GGAAGUAAAAGCGUAACAAGGUUUCCGUAGGUGAACCUGCGGAAGGGUCAUUAGUGAACGCCCUCACGGGCUUAUAACUAUUCCAAACCUCUGUGAACCGUGCCCUUCGGGGCUAUUUUACAAACAUGGUGUAAUGAACGUCAUAUAUCAUAACAAAACAAAACUUUCAACAACGGAUCUCUUGGCUCUC
RNAcentral lists this unclassified non-coding RNA (190 nucleotides) under plant metagenome. RNAcentral's name for it is "partial contains small subunit ribosomal RNA, internal transcribed spacer 1, and 5.8S ribosomal RNA". The stretch from base 1 to 53 matches the Rfam family "Eukaryotic small subunit ribosomal RNA", at positions 1778 to 1831 of the family's 1831-position model. The record is from RNAcentral.